Molecule: long non-coding RNA, 654 nt
Organism: Mizuhopecten yessoensis (Yesso scallop)
Lineage: Eukaryota; Metazoa; Mollusca; Bivalvia; Pectinida; Pectinidae
Exons: 4
Source: RefSeq, a predicted model, not a curated record
UUUUCAGACGUUUUACAACGCCUGUUACACUCAUGUUAUGUAGUACACAGUAUGUAACGACAGAAACUUCCGGAAUGUGUAUUUCAAGACAUGAAGCUACUUAAACAGACAUUAUAAUCCUGUCACCACUGCCAGUAUCAUGAUUUCCCGAAUGUCACCGGUAUAAACGGUACGGAACAACGCCCAUAUCCCCAUAACAUGGAGGUUUCCUCUGCUACCACCAAAGUAGCCAAUAGUACAGUUCCAACCGCGUAUGACAUCGGAUCAAAUGAUGACACACAGAUGGUUUUGAUCCGAUUGGGCGCCAUUGUGUUCGUUAUACUUUUCAUUGUCCUGAUCGCCCUCUUUCUUGAAUCCCGAAAACGUCACAGGGCAAAAAAGGACUUGAAUGCUUUCUUUAUCUUUUGAUGAAUACGAAUCUAUUGUUAACUACAUGCAUUUAAAGCACUACACACAAUGCAUUAGAAAGCAUUGGUCAAUAUUCCUUAUCUAAGUGCUUGUAAAAAGGUCAAUUUACACUAAUUCAAUAUUUAACGUUAUUUAUAUUGCUAUUAUACAACAUUUUUAUUAUUUUUUUUUAUAUUUAUUUGACUCAUUUGUGUUUUUUUUAUUGUUAAUACUUUGCCUAAGAUAUUAUGCAUAAUAAAAUUUGAA